AUUAAACGGAAGGCGGGAGAGGCUGUGAGUGAACUUUCUGUAGGUGUAGAUCUCUGUCUGUCUGUCUAAUUUUUCAGCCCUGAGAGUGCUUCACUUGUUGCUUACCUCUGAUUUGCUUGUAUCUACGGAAAAAUGAUCGGAUAAACCGGGUGCCACUUUGAGGAAGUAUUACUCAUUAAGCCUAUUUAUUGGGGUACGUAAUAUCAGUCGCACUAUCGCCGUUGCCCUACACGCCGGUAAGGAAAGAUGUUUUAGAAGCUCUAUAUAUAGACGGUUGUUAUAAUGUUACAAUUAACUGAAAAGGGAUAUCAGUUUAUGAUGAGGAAAUGAAUUCAUAUUGCUACGAGUAGUAUAAUAUUGAAAAGUUUGGCUCUGACAAUCGAGACGACAAUCGUAAGCUUAGCUGGCUUUUUUUGCGCAUUUUUAGUGACAGCUCUUUACCACAAUCCGCUCAGACGCUCGCUGGAAAAGAACGUGACAAGUGAUAAUCUAAAAACCGUUGCUCAUUGGCAGGUUCAGCCAUCGUUUUAAACUGCCGGCUGUCCUGCCGGAGGUGCCACCGGGGUCGCAGGGAGUUCCCAUAGGGAAAAACCCAUAGCCGGCUUCUCGAGCGGAGACAUAUCUUCGAAAUGGCAACCCCCUAGCUCCGAUCGCUACGGCUCGGGGAGUUCGUUCGCUUGCGCCUCUCGUCCCCGAAGCUGCUGCGCCAAUUCUAGCCUGGAUGGAAGAGCUCCGGGAGGCACUUCGUGUGGCACACGCAUGGUUUACGCGAACUGUGGCAGCGGCGACUUAAUGACAACGCGAGCCGCGAUGUUGAUGGCACGCACGCAGCAGUGGACUUGGCCGGGUAAACCGUCAUCUUCAGAAUCGCCACCAGCGCAUUGGCCGGUGAGUUGUCGUUGAGGCUCAAGGUACAGACAGAGCCUAUAUAGAACUUGCAGUGGUGAUAGUGUGCAAUGCUGAAGGGAAGGUCCAAGAAGCUCAGGACGGCUCAGGCCGCGGCCUCCGAUGGUAACGAGGAAGCAAAAGCAGAGCAAGAAAACCAUUUUUGAUAACAAUAAUAUCAUCACAAUGAUGUAUGCUAUCAAAGAUAAAUUUCUAGUGAGUGAAUGAGUGCGAUUUAAGCGUAUAUUUGCUAGAUAAGUCUACUUUUUAGCAUGUUAUUUUCGUUAAGGGUAUAGAGGACAUUCUCGAGAUCUGACUGCUACUAUGUAAUAUGGAUAUAAAUCAUAACCGAAUAAAUUUAUUAAUUGCGUGCAGUGAAGUUGAGCGCAUGAGACAGACACGUUAAACAGCAGGAGAUGACUCAAUGAGACCAGGAGUGGUAGUAGUGAAUCAACUGAAUUACACAACGCAACCCUAAAUAUGAAGUUACUGUAUUGUAGAUGAACUUCAGCGUACCUAUGCUAUUUCAAAAAAACGUUAAAAUAGAUAAGCGUGUCAAACAGUUGCUUCGGCAAUAGAUUUUUUAAACACCUCUUUUACUUCAGUCAUUCACUCAACGAAUAUUUACGUAAGCUGUAAAAUAGUGUACGGUAGUAUACUAUAUGAUGCUGGACUCUCGACGCCAGGACUCUGAUCAGCUGCUAGGAAGCUUCUGAUAUCUUUUUUUCGGGUUCAUUCUUUUUUUAUUAUGACAAAGGUGACAGCUAUCUGGCAGGAGGGGAGUCCUCAUAUCGCAGCGCUUUUAACUCUGCGAGUGUCAAUGACGUAAAAUAGUUGUCGUCUUGUCUUGUUUCAUUUGGCACGUUGUUCUAUUCAGGCUAGUUUGCAGAUCCAAUGGUUACUUAGCAUUUGAAUGAACGAAGAGUGAUGCAUGAGAAAAACGAAAAUGAAAAUAGUAAUGAUAAUCGUAAUGGCAAAAAAUAGAAGUAGCACAUUCUCAAAAGGCAGGAACAUUUGUGUUUUUCUGGAACCCAAUAGAGAAAAGCUACGAAAUGAAUGAAUUGAAGUAUAGAAAUCGCUUGUAGCCGGUCAAGUGGCGUCUUUACCUACUGACUACUCUUUCACUCAAAGGUCGUGUUCGCAUUCAUCUGGAUAUCAGUUAGAAUGGUGGUGUAGAUGGAACCUGUUGUAAAGCCUCCGACCAGCUUUCUAAAAAAAACGUUUAGCCCCAAUUUUCAGCUGUGGUAUCAUGAGCACGAUCAAUAAUGUUACGGUACUGUGUUUGAUGAUAGUACCUGAUCACAGUUUGGUAAAUAUCUAUGAAUAAUCGAACUAAGAUAGAACUUUUCAUAUGGCUAUUUGGCACGGGGAUUACCAUUAUCGCAACUCGGAGAGGGCUGCAUGGGCAGCAAGUAAAAUCAUUGACAAGCGGAAUCCAUUGAAUAAUUCUGCUUACUCUUAAGGUCUUUGCCUGUCAUCUUUGUCUUAACAAAUAUACUGCUGUAAGAAUCGCUUGUAGAUCGUAGUCUUUAUCAACAAUCUGCGUAUUUAUCGUUUCGUAUGGAAUCAGGGAGGCAACAUUAAUCCCUUUCCUUGAGCUUCGUUUUCAUCCGAUUCACGAUUGAACACGUAUGCUUGAAGUCGGACUUCGUUUGCCAGUGGUUGCUUGUCUGCCGCCGGCGUAGAUCUGACUGCGGUAGGGCGGGCCACCUGAGCCGCAAACAUCGGAUCUCAAACAGUCUCCCACUGGAGCAGGACCACCCCCAAAGGCUGCGUGCAUCUACCGUAUAAUAUAAACAAUGAUACGAAAGAAAGCAGGAACCGAUCAACCAAACGCUCCAAUGUUCAUGCGACCAUUUAGGCGGAGCAGCAAAAAAAGCCGAGACAAAAAAGCGUUAACAACGUCACAUUUGAAUGGCCGCAAUGGAGAAAACUGUCGGAUCUCAGAGUGCUCUGAACGAUUUUGAGAUUCACCAUUACGGGGGGUCUAAUAAAGCAGAAAAACGGUGUUCAUGCCUAACCUAAGCUUCGGUACUAGGCAAUUCAGGAGGAGGCCAUGGCCACUCAGGAAGAGCCGUAUUUAUGUGUAGCAUUUCUAUCACAGACCUACUAGCAACAAUGUUAGAUUAUAAAGGAACAAAAAAUGGCCUCUACGGAAAGUAGACAUACAAAAAGAAAGUGGAAAAACGAUUUUCGAAAUAAAAAUCGGCCUAUAAAGCUAACGUAAGUCGCAAGCAGUAUUAUGGCUUUUGAGGCGUUGUGCUGGCAGAAAAUUCACGCGGUUGUCAAGGCGCACACAUGUGUGUGGUCAUCUAGUGAAUUUAGCCCUGCAGAAGCAAUUGGCUAAAAAAGUGAUCCUACCAAAGGGUUAUUGAAAAUAGGUUAUUGUUCCAAUAAAUUAGCAACUGCUAAACCGUAAGGGACUCGCCAUUUUAACUACGAUUCUCUGUGUACCGUGUCUGAAGGCAAACUGAUCAGUUCAUCCAUGAAUUUUUUCCUUAUUCGCUUGUCUUGAGCUAGAUUUUAUCGUAUGUUCGGUAGAAAUUCAGCAAGAAAAGCCAAACUGUUUUAUUAGCUGAAUCAGCGAACCACCUCACGUACGAAAGGCUCAGUUCAAAAUAUUUUUUACUAGUUUUUAUUACUAGCCCAAUCCAGAAACAAGCGACGCCACACCUUCAUGAAUAAUAGAUAAUAACAAAAUAAAGAAAGACAUCUAACCAAAGUCAACUAUUAGAUUGUUAUUGAUUAUAUUGUUUCAUCACGUUCAUUGUCGUCAUCGCUGCAGUCGCAACAUUGUUUAAUGGUCUGAAACUGGGGGGUUUGAAGUGUAGUACAUAGAGAGACACACAUGCAUACGCACCAGGAUACAUGUGUCAUCAUUUCUGUUACUGAUGUUUGUAGUAAGGCAGGAAUAGAUGAAGUAGUUAUGCAGCAAUGUCGAUGUCUGGCAGAACCCAUCUGCCGAAGUUAAUCACACGCCGCAUGUUGUCUCGGUAGGUGUCAACGGCAACUUUGUGGUUUGGCUAGCAAAUAGACAUGCAGUAGCAGAGGUAUAGAGGCGUUACACCCGCAGGCAGAAUGAAAUUGCUAGUACAAGAAAUAAAAGAACAAAGGCAUCAGUUGCUAUUCCCUAUUGGUAAAGCAUGUUUCUAGAAGAAGGUCUCUGCCUUCAGCUACCGCAGCUUCCGAGAGACAAACGGCAUCGAUGCUGCCCGUUGUUGUUAUUGGUAACUGCUGCUCAGUGGCCAAAGGGCUGCGCCGCUAACCUACGCCGUGCGAUGCGUCAGUCUGACGAUGUGUUCCUGCUGUCGUUGUGGUACGACUGCGUGCGUACGCUCGUCCCAUCUACUGCCACUACAACUAUUAUAGUUACAGUUACGAACAGACUACGAUGAAAAAGCGGGACCCUACCGGACCCUGAAGGCUUCGGCCAAACCGAGUGCCUGUUUUUGUUUCUGCCUUUCUUUGAACAUGUGUUUUUCUGGUAGCUCUUUUCAUUUUUCUUCUUUCACUAGCCUCUAUCCCCUGCUUUUUUUUAUCGUUGUCUUCACCAUUGUCUACUCCGUGUUCUUCCCAUUAUCAUCAUCGUCGUCGUAGAUCUCUCCGACCUUUACAAACGAAAACAGGCACAAAAAAGCCUAGCUAACAGCAGCCGACCCCAUCACCUAACUGACGUCGAUUGCAUCGACGGCAAGAACACGACUGACAACCAGUCAAUUCCGCGAGGUCAACUCAAACCUCAACUUCACCAGGGGCGCUUCAACCAGCGCUAGUACAGCUGCUGGCUAGAUACUUACUGCCAUAACCCUUCGUCGUCUGACUUUCAACAGCUCGCUGUUGCUCCCAUCCGACAACUGCUUCUAGUACUUUGUGAAAUGUUGUAUAGCUGAACGCUACUAGCGCGCGUCACCAUCAUCAUACGUAUGCCAUAUCACUAUAUAUACCCGCGAAACACGCGUCACACUGCUCGGCCGGAGACACAGAACCUGUAUGUCUGCAUGUGUCUAUGUGCAUUUCUAUUACUUAGCGCUCAGACGAGACGCCGAGCGGAGCCUUUCUGUAAUGACCAUGGCGCUCCAAUGAUAGAGUCGUAUUGAAUUGUGUCAGAUCGCUUUUGAUCGAGCCACGACGCUGUAGAACGACGCAACAAACGAAAGCAACGAGGGUCUGUCUUCAUUUACUUCGGUGUUCGAUGACUGGCAUUGUUUUGUGCUUUUAUUAUGGGGCGGGUUCUCUUGUGCGUUCGACACGAGCGAGUGACUCGAACUGUUAGGGAACGACAAGACGAAAAUUACGUGGACAAGUAUUUUUUAUGGUUGAGGGAAGGAUCUAAUAGGCGAAAGAAGAGCCAGUGAAAAGCGACGAGCAAGAAAUGAAACAGGCGAUAAGGAACAAUCGUGAUUAGGACAACUGUUAUUUGGAGUGGCAAGAUUCUUCGAAAAAAUAUCACUAGUAAGUGAUAGACACUAAUAUCAGUGAUACUACACAGUCAAGCUGUACGCAUAAGUUUAUAGAAAUCAAGUAAGUUGGGGAAACUGGAUAUUCAGCACAAAAAAAAUACCGUUUGAUGUUGCAUAGGAAGACCAACAUCAGCCACUGCAUUAACAGCGACCAUGUAACAGUGAGAAAUAAAACGCGUCUUUUUCACAUCUGGAUUUUAAAGUAUUCCCAAAAUAGAUUACAGAGAAUAUUGAUGGCAUCAAUUAGUCGAUGUUGUUGGAUGAAUACUCAAUGAAAAUGUGCCAUGUAGUUCUUUUCGAUUUUUCGGAUAGAACUGUACGACAUAUAUAUAUAUCUGCACAGAAGUAUCUCGCUGAUUAGAUGUUUCGGUUUCCUUUUCGCUAGAAAGACGAAAAUAAUCAUUUGUAGAGUAUAAAAACAAAUCUAUCCUGUGUUCUGUGAAAAAUAGCCCAGCAAGUAUUGAAUAACUACUUCGAUUUGAACUUUUGUUGCACUAUCUUUUGGCUAUUUUAUCAUUUAUCUUUCUUAAACAUAUAGACAUAUAACAUUGCGCGCGUUCAUAAAGAUCUACGGCUACACUAUAUAAAUACAUACAGAGAUCCUAAUCCGCGGACGCAACAACGCUUCCUCGUGCCGUCGUUUAUGAUAGCCAAAAAUUUGUUUUCGUCCUCAUCAACAACGACAACGGUAACCUAACUUUUCUUCGUUAGCUACUCUCCUCACCGGUAAAUAUCAACGUAGAUAUUCAGCUUCUGCUUGGGAAUACUGCCAAGUGCCAUUAUCACCGUUAACGAACAAUAAAAACAAUGAAUAAACAUUUAUUUUCAACACUCCUAUCACUCCACUGGAGAUCGCGGUCCGUCUCCACCGCUCAAUCCAUUCCAAAUUAUGACUGCCGUACAGGUCGACAACCGCUACAAAGGUGGUAGACCCUUGAAAAGUAAAAUUUCGAUAUUAUUCUUGUUAAUAUUGUCAUCGUCGCUGUUUUAGUAAACAUAACGACUUGAAGGCUACAAGUAUAUAGAUAUAUACGCGCUUACUGUGAGGCAGCAAUUGAGAAGCGGCAUCAGGCAUAUACUAAUAUGUAAGAAGAUAAAGACGUUUUAAAUACUCGACCACGUCAGCCAGUGCCGAGAAUACAGAUAGAUCGAGCACGUCGCUGACUCUAAAACAAAAAAAAAAGAAAAGUAGUAGUCGUUCCUAUAUAUAGACGUCGUUGAUAUUCGGGUGCACUGAGUGAGUCCAAAAUGCGUGGAACAAGACAUGUGGGUGAAUAGACUGGCAGCUAGAAGCAGCCAGCGACGAUAGUACCUGAAGUAAGUCAGAUCCAGGUUAGCAUGACUCGUUGUUUUUUUUACUUCUAGUUUCGCCUGACUAUUCCAGACCUCGUCGGCUCCUAUAUCGAUCAAUGACUAUCUUCGAUAGAAGUGCUUGCAUGGCAUUUUAGUACCAGGUUCUACAUGACAAAUUCGGCUGACGACUAUCGGAAAUGGCGUGAAAACAUUGUAGUUGCAGUGGCUCGUGGCUGUCAGUC
Varroa destructor (honeybee mite) is the source of this 6880-nucleotide long non-coding RNA. NCBI's taxonomy places the organism in Eukaryota, Metazoa, Arthropoda, Arachnida, Mesostigmata, Varroidae. The record is from RefSeq and is a predicted model, not a curated record.